RNAcentral lists this ribosomal RNA (433 nucleotides) under Escherichia coli. RNAcentral describes it as "bacterial SSU rRNA". It matches the Rfam family "Bacterial small subunit ribosomal RNA", at positions 1099 to 1532 of the family's 1533-position model. Lineage: Bacteria; Pseudomonadati; Pseudomonadota; Gammaproteobacteria; Enterobacterales; Enterobacteriaceae. The record is from RNAcentral.
CAACCCUUAUCCUUUGUUGCCAGCGGUCCGGCCGGGAACUCAAAGGAGACUGCCAGUGAUAAACUGGAGGAAGGUGGGGAUGACGUCAAGUCAUCAUGGCCCUUACGACCAGGGCUACACACGUGCUACAAUGGCGCAUACAAAGAGAAGCGACCUCGCGAGAGCAAGCGGACCUCAUAAAGUGCGUCGUAGUCCGGAUUGGAGUCUGCAACUCGACUCCAUGAAGUCGGAAUCGCUAGUAAUCGUGGAUCAGAAUGCCACGGUGAAUACGUUCCCGGGCCUUGUACACACCGCCCGUCACACCAUGGGAGUGGGUUGCAAAAGAAGUAGGUAGCUUAACCUUCGGGAGGGCGCUUACCACUUUGUGAUUCAUGACUGGGGUGAAGUCGUAACAAGGUAACCGUAGGGGAACCUGCGGUUGGAUCACCUCCUU